GCAGUGGUGGUUCAAUGAUAGAUUUCUCACCUUUCACGUGGGAGAUCAGAGUUCGAUUCCUGGCCAGUGCA
Molecule: transfer RNA, 71 nt
Filed under: Loxodonta africana (African savanna elephant)
Lineage: Eukaryota; Metazoa; Chordata; Mammalia; Proboscidea; Elephantidae
Rfam family: tRNA
About the family: Transfer RNA (tRNA) molecules are approximately 80 nucleotides in length. Their secondary structure includes four short double-helical elements and three loops (D, anti-codon, and T loops). Further hydrogen bonds mediate the characteristic L-shaped molecular structure. tRNAs have two regions of fundamental functional importance: the anti-codon, which is responsible for specific mRNA codon recognition, and the 3' end, to which the tRNAs corresponding amino acid is attached (by aminoacyl-tRNA synthetases). tRNAs cope with the degeneracy of the genetic code in two manners: having more than one tRNA (with a specific anti-codon) for a particular amino acid; and 'wobble' base-pairing, i.e. permitting non-standard base-pairing at the 3rd anti-codon position.
Source: Rfam by way of RNAcentral